This 519-nucleotide ribosomal RNA is filed under the name uncultured eukaryote. RNAcentral describes it as "SSU rRNA". It matches the Rfam family "Eukaryotic small subunit ribosomal RNA", at positions 1161 to 1704 of the family's 1831-position model. The record is from RNAcentral.
AGGGCACCACCAGGAGUGGAGCCUGCGGCUUAAUUUGACUCAACACGGGGAAACUCACCCGGCCCGGACACCGGAAGGAUUGACAGAUUGAUAGCUCUUUCUUGAUUCGGUGGAUGGUGGUGCAUGGCCGUUCUUAGUUGGUGGAGCGAUCUGUCUGGUUAAUUCCGAUAACGAACGAGACUCUAGCCUAUUAAAUAGACGUCGGGUUCUCUGCACUCGACGGUCUUCUUAGAGGGACAAGGUGCUUUUAGCACCGCGAAACAGAGCAAUAACAGGUCUGUGAUGCCCUUAGAUGUCCGGGGCCGCACGCGCGCUACACUGAAGGAAGCAGCGUGUAACAACCUUGUUCUAACGAACUGGGUAACCCGUGGAACUUCCUUCAUGAUUGGGAUAGGGGUUUGCAAUUGUGCCCCUUGAACGAGGAAUUCCCAGUAAACACUAGUCAUCAGCUAGUGCUGAUUACGUCCCUGCCCUUUGUACGCACCGCCCGUCGCUACUACCGAUUGAAUGGUUUAGUGA